CGGGUUUUGUACCACAUUCAGAGUAUUCCAGGUUGCAUAGCUUUGUGCUACUAUUGCUGUACGAUCUGGGACACUUUUAACAUGGUAUCAAAUCUGA
This 97-nucleotide microRNA precursor is filed under the name Drosophila simulans. Its description in RNAcentral is "microRNA dsi-mir-960 precursor". Its record names the gene dsi-mir-960. It matches the Rfam family "mir-960 microRNA precursor family". Lineage: Eukaryota; Metazoa; Arthropoda; Insecta; Diptera; Drosophilidae. The record is from miRBase by way of RNAcentral.